AUUGAACGCUGGCGGCAGGCCUAACACAUGCAAGUCGAGCGGCAGCGGGAAAGUAGCUUGCUACUUUUGCCGGCGAGCGGCGGACGGGUGAGUAAUGCCUGGGAAAUUGCCCAGUCGAGGGGGAUAACAGUUGGAAACGACUGCUAAUACCGCAUACGCCCUACGGGGGAAAGCAGGGGACCUUCGGGCCUUGCGCGAUUGGAUAUGCCCAGGUGGGAUUAGCUUGUUGGUGAGGUAAUGGCUCACCAAGGCGACGAUCCCUAGCUGGUCUGAGAGGAUGAUCAGCCACACUGGAACUGAGACACGGUCCAGACUCCUACGGGAGGCAGCAGUGGGGAAUAUUGCACAAUGGGGGAAACCCUGAUGCAGCCAUGCCGCGUGUGUGAAGAAGGCCUUCGGGUUGUAAAGCACU
RNAcentral lists this ribosomal RNA (412 nucleotides) under Aeromonas sp. R-22903. RNAcentral's name for it is "bacterial SSU rRNA". It matches the Rfam family "Bacterial small subunit ribosomal RNA", at positions 30 to 434 of the family's 1533-position model. The record is from RNAcentral. Lineage: Bacteria; Pseudomonadati; Pseudomonadota; Gammaproteobacteria; Aeromonadales; Aeromonadaceae.